This 299-nucleotide unclassified non-coding RNA is filed under the name Glomus sp. Its description in RNAcentral is "partial contains 5.8S ribosomal RNA and internal transcribed spacer 2". The stretch from base 1 to 65 matches the Rfam family "5.8S ribosomal RNA", at positions 84 to 154 of the family's 154-position model. The record is from RNAcentral. Lineage: Eukaryota; Fungi; Glomeromycota; Glomeromycetes; Glomerales; Glomeraceae.
GUGAAUCAUCGAAUUUUUGAACGCAAAUUGCACUCUCUUCUGAGAGUAUGCCUGUUUCAGUGUCAGCCUAAAAAAAAUCGACAUAGUCACUGUUUCGCGGUGACAUUCGUCGGAAAUUGUUUCAUCUUACACCUUUUGGUUUUAAUCGGCUUAAAAUUUUCUUUACUAUUCCACUAACGUUUCUAAUAUUUACUUACACGUUUAAGGUAUCCAUCUUUAUUAUACGUGGCCGUUGCAUCGGAUCGCGUCCAUAAAUAUUUCGUUAACUUACCUAAUACAAGUAAUAACACCCACUCAAC